This 242-nucleotide long non-coding RNA is filed under the name Elaeis guineensis (African oil palm). RNAcentral's name for it is "long non-coding RNA (EGUI_LNC048009)". Lineage: Eukaryota; Viridiplantae; Streptophyta; Magnoliopsida; Arecales; Arecaceae. The record is from RNAcentral.
AUGGCUGAUGAAGAGUCCUAAUGCUUGUGGACUAUUAGUCCUACGUGUCUGAGACUCUGUGAUCGAGAAUCAGGAUUCUUUGAUCACGAGUACCACACAAUUUGGGUACCGGGGUCAAGAGUCCCACUGGUUUGGGACUUUUUGAUCAAGGUUUCAUAUCGGUGGACUCUGAUGUCCGAUUGUUCAUUGGAUUUGGACUCAGUAUUUAUAAGAGAUUUAAUUAGUGAUUUGAUCACUAAUUA